GACGAACGCUGGCGGCGUGCUUAACACAUGCAAGUCGAACGGUGAAGGGACCGGUUUUUGCUGGUUCUGGAUGAGUGGCGAACGGGUGAGUAACACGUGAGUAACCUGCCCCCUUCUUCUGGAUAACCGCAUGAAAGUGUGGCUAAUACGGGAUAUUCUGCGCCUGCUGCAUGGUGGGUGUGGGAAAGAUAUUGUUUCGGUGGGGGAUGGGCUCGCGGCCUAUCAGCUUGUUGGUGGGGUGAUGGCCUACCAAGGCGGUGACGGGUAGCCGGCCUGAGAGGGUGGACGGUCACACUGGGACUGAGACACGGCCCAGACUCCUACGGGAGGCAGCAGUGGGGAAUAUUGCACAAUGGGCGCAAGCCUGAUGCAGCGCCGCCGCGUGAGGGAUGGAGGCCUUCGGGUUGUAAACCUCUUUCGCCAGUGAAGCAGGCCUGUCCCUUUUGUGGGUGGGUUGACGGUAGCUGGAUAAGAAGCGCCGGCUAACUACGUG
Molecule: ribosomal RNA, 493 nt
Filed under: uncultured bacterium
Lineage: Bacteria
Description: partial 16S ribosomal RNA
Rfam family: Bacterial small subunit ribosomal RNA
Source: RNAcentral